CCAACUUUUCGGAGAGGAGGAUGCCUAAGGCAGUGCUGGUGACUGGGGUGAAGUCGUAACAAGGUAGCCGUACCGGAAGGUGUGGCUGGAUCACCUCCUUUUUAGGGAGACCUACACCCCUCAAAACUCGAAAGCAAAAUGCCAAUAGAGAUUGAGUUGGUCUAACCUAGGUCGGUCGCAAAAUUUGCUGAGCUUUCAAACUAUAGAUUGGUUCGGAUAAUGGGCUAUUAGCUCAGGUGGUUAGA
Molecule: unclassified non-coding RNA, 245 nt
Filed under: Nostoc sp. C19-b
Lineage: Bacteria; Bacillati; Cyanobacteriota; Cyanophyceae; Nostocales; Nostocaceae
Description: partial contains 16S ribosomal RNA and 16S-23S ribosomal RNA intergenic spacer
Rfam family: Bacterial small subunit ribosomal RNA (bases 1-101)
Source: RNAcentral